AAUUAAGUGAUCAUGAAUAAUAUUUUUAAAGAGGAAAUUUGCAAUAAAAUGUGUAAAAUAUAUUCCAAGUGAGAACAGCUGCUACACGUUUCAAGUUUAAAUUGAAGAGAAUGAAACGAAAUGUACAAAAUUUGUUUGCAUUAAUGUAACAUGCCAUGUUAGAUCAAAAAUCACAAAGUGCAAAUGGAAGAUUUUGAGAUGUUACGUUAAUAUAUCGUGUAAUGUCCAUGGGUGUGUCACUGGGGGUCCCGGGCCUUGUCGAUUAGGCCGGCUGCAGUCGGGAAGAAACUGUGCAGUGAUAGCUCCCAGUGGUGAAAAGUACAUUUAAGUACAAAUGCAAAUUAACUUUUAGUCAAAUUUUUACAUACUCUUACUUCAGUUGAGUGAGCUACUUGUUCCACCACUACAGUACCGAGUGAAAUAUUGCACUUUUUACCCCAAUACAUUUAUUUGAGAGUUGAAGUUACUGGUUACUCAGAUUAAGAUUUUAAUAAAUGGUGCGUUAUUAUAGGUGAAACUACCUAGGAUAAAGUAGGUGUUGGGUGUAGGUAAUGGGGUGCUCAUCCUAUGGCCUGACUAACUGGUUGGUUAGAUUAGAUAAAACAUAGAUUAAUAAAAUGCCUACUUAAUAAGUAUUAUUGGCUGCUUCAAUCAUAUCGCACUACAGUGGACCUGCUGUGAGCCAUUAAAAGGCAGUAAAGACAGGCAGGAUGCACCCGUGGGAAACAGAGAGGUUUCACUAAAUAACUGACUGUUAUAUUGCUGCUGUUUUUCUCUUCUCUUGUGUUGUGGUGCUGCACUGAGACUUCCGGUAAAGCAUCCUUUAAUUUGUGUUUGUCUAUUUCGACCUGGCUAUAGUUUUUCUCCCUCUGUGUGUGUCCGUGAAGAAGGUGCUGCACAUUUUACACCUUGCACCUUUUCCUCUUCCUCUGCAGUUGUCAGUCUGUGGUGAUAAAGCAGAACAAAAUCUCUGUGUGGUCCUGGAGUCAAUAAGGAGUUUGACUAUUUAGUGCCUAAAAAGGGCCACAUCUCCUUAAAAUGUCAUGCUCAAUUUCCCUCCCACGAUCAUCUGUUGGCAUUCUGGACUCUUAUUGAACCAGCAACAUCUAGGAUGGUACGGACUACAAGGGUCAGUGAAGCCCCUGCCGAUGAAGGGGAAGAAGAGAGUUUUAGCAGAUCAACAAAACUGGUCCCCAUAGAUGAAUUUUUCUUGUUUUUGAACUACCUGUCAACUGGAUGGAGCCAGAGGGAACUUGGUCAAUGUUUUAACAUCUACCAGACAACAGUCAGUGCACAGCUGAGCAGGUGAAAGCUUAUCUUCCCCUGGAGUUUAUGGACUACGCAGACACCCAGCCUUGACUUGAGGGGAAUACUUCUACAACUGCAAUCAGCGGUAAACAUAGAGGAGGCUGCACCCAUGUCCUACAACAUAAAUGUCAUUCGUUCAAGUGUGUUGGUCAGUGCUUUGAGGGCUUUCAGGCAACAGGCCUUUGAUCCAUGCAGGCAGCUAGACAUUGUCUUUGUGGAUGCAUGUUGAGAUGGGGAGGACUCCGUUGAUAAUGGUGGCCCUUCCCAUGAGUUCUUUAAGCUCCUCAUGCAAUCCAUCCUUGAUUCGCAAUAUUUUGUGGGACCCCAGGAUUGCAAGAACCUUGCUCUGGAUGCCAUGGGGCUAACCAGGGGAACCUAUAGACUGCUGGGUAUGAUGCUAUCUGUCUGCCUUGUCCAUGGAGGGGUUGGGCCCCGUGUGCUGUCCAAACGACUUUUUGCACAGCUGUCAGGGCUCCCCACUUCCCCAGGGGACAUAACCGAAGUAGAUGACAUAGAGCUGUGUGAACAACUAGACAAGAUUCUAAAGGCAGAGUCAGUGACAGAGGCCUGCACAGCAAUUUUGGAGGUGUGCAACAGCCUAAACAUGCUUGGUGCCUUGACCGGCAUCACAAGCCUAGAGGACAGAGAUGAACUUUUCCAGUCAGCAACGCAAUUUUAUGUGGAAGGAAGAUGUGGAGGCAGUUCUCAAACAGUCGACCUUUUCAGCUGAAGGAAGGAUUGGAGACAUUGGGAGUAAAAAAUACCCUAGAAGCCCACUUUGGUCUGCUGGAGGACCUGUUUUUGCAGUGGAGCCCCAACCUUGUCUGCUGCUUCCUUAAUUGAACUCUUCAGGGUCCGGUACUCACCAAGAGGAAGCAGCAGGAGGGCAUUAGAGGAGUCAGCAGUUGGCCACUGGCACGACUGGUUGAUUGAUGUGAAAGGUGGAGAUGCUGCCAUUGAGGAAGAGGGAGGGGAAAGUCUGACCUUGUCCUUGGAGGAAGUACUGGUGUUUGCCUCUGGGGCAUCCGCCAUCCCACCAUUUGGUUUUAGGGAGACUCCAUGCAUAGAAUUCCUACAUAGUACCCUGAAUGGUUGGAGGUGGGUGUACCCGGAUGCAAACACCUGUGCGAUCAUCCUGAAUCUCCCCCUCCAGAGCAACUAUGAAGACUUUGGACGCCACAUGUUACUAGGCGUAAUUCAAUCACCAACAUUCGGGGUUGCUUAAGUUUUUUUUUUUGUUGUUGUAUUACAUUUCCUUUUUCACAAAUCAUUACAGAAUGGUCAUAUGUUGUGUAUAGUUGUAGUACCUGUUGUUCACUGUUCACAUACAGGAACUUGCAUUUCUGUCUGUGCAUUUUAUGGGGAAGGAGGUGCUCAUCCAUGUAACCCACAAUUUACCCUGUGUUUUAUAGGGUUUUUGGGUUUAACAGUUUAAUUAGAUUCUGUUGUGGACUGUAGCUCAUUCCUGGAGUUUUAAUGAUGUGAGCGUUUAGUAGGCAGCAAGGGUCAAACAAAAGAUGUUAUUGUGUUGCAUUGUGGGAAGUGUAGGAUCCAGUGUUUUUGGAGCUUGACCUAUACUAUGCACUAAAUUCAUUUUAACCACUUUAUGGCAGUGCAAUGUUUAACUGCUAGAGUACCCCUAUAAUAUGGAUACGUAUUGUUAUAUAUUGUGGUAUGGCAAAUGUAUGUAAAACCACAUAUAAAAUAAUGGCCCAUAUUUGUCAUUUACAGACCAAAACUUCUAUAACUAAUUUUGUUAAUUUUUUUUAAGGGUUACAGAUUUAGUUUUAUGCAUCAAAACUGGUGUACUUGUCAAUGUACACCAAUCAGUCCGUGAAAACAGUUGCAUAAUGUCAUCAGCUUGAAGAGAACAGAUUUGUUUGCUUGUAUUACAAACUGGAGGUGUGGAGUUGUACAAGGCACAGAGGGUCUAACAAAAAGAUGCUCUAAAUUUACAUUUUGAGAAAUGCAGGAUCUAGUAUUUUUAGAGUUUGAAUUGUGCUGUUACAACAACUUUGCCCAUUCUUCCCAUCUCAUAACCCUACUUCUUAUUUUAUCAGUGAGGGCCAGGUUUAGUAAUGGUGAAAUCAGCAUGAGGUUACUGCUGCUGUGACCAGUGGAGGAUUGAGGCAGCUUAUUAUCUGUGUGUGGGUAUGUAUUUGUGCGUGUUCCCUCUCUACUUGUGGAAGUCCUGCAGGAAAUGCUGCUGCUUAAAGUUCAUUUUGUAAUAGAAAUA
Molecule: RNA transcript, 3544 nt
Organism: Thunnus maccoyii (southern bluefin tuna)
Lineage: Eukaryota; Metazoa; Chordata; Actinopteri; Scombriformes; Scombridae
Exons: 9
Source: RefSeq, a predicted model, not a curated record